Molecule: ribosomal RNA, 478 nt
Filed under: uncultured bacterium
Lineage: Bacteria
Description: partial 16S ribosomal RNA
Rfam family: Bacterial small subunit ribosomal RNA
Source: RNAcentral
GACGAACGCUGGCGGCGUGCUUAACACAUGCAAGUCGAACGGUAAGGCCCUUCGGGGUACACGAGUGGCGAACGGGUGAGUAACACGUGGGUGAUCUGCCCUGCACUUCGGGAUAAGCCUGGGAAACUGGGUCUAAUACCGGAUAGGACCACUGCCUGCAUGGGUGGUGGUGGAAAGCUUUUGCGGUGUGGGAUGGGCCCGCGGCCUAUCAGCUUGUUGGUGGGGGGAUGGCCUACCAAGGCGACGAGGGGUAGCCGGCCUGAGAGGGUGACCGGCCACACUGGGACUGAGAUACGGCCCAGACUCCUACGGGAGGCAGCAGUGGGGAAUAUUGCACAAUGGGCGCAAGCCUGAUGCAGCGACGCCGCGUGAGGGAUGACGGCCUUCGGGUUGUAAACCUCUUUCAGCACCGACGAAGCGCAAGUGACGGUAGGUGCAGAAGAAGGACCGGCCAACUACGUGCCAGCCGCCGUAACAC